This 783-nucleotide ribosomal RNA is filed under the name uncultured archaeon. Its description in RNAcentral is "bacterial SSU rRNA". It matches the Rfam family "Archaeal small subunit ribosomal RNA", at positions 372 to 1155 of the family's 1478-position model. The record is from RNAcentral.
AUAGGGGACUCGAGUGCCAGGUUACAAAUCUGGCUGUCGUGAUGCCUAAAAAGCAUUGCAUAGCAAGGGCCGGGCAAGACCGGUGCCAGCCGCCGCGGUAACACCGGCGGCUCGAGUGGUAACCGUUAUUAUUGGGUCUAAAGGGUCUGUAGCCGGCCGGGUAAGUCUCUUGGGAAAUCUGGCAGCUUAACUGUCAGGCUUUCAGGAGAUACUGUCUGGCUCGAGGCCGGGAGAGGUGAGAGGUACUUCAGGGGUAGGGGUGAAAUCUUGUAAUCCUUGAAGGACCACCAGUGGCGAAGGCGUCUCACCAGAACGGACCUGACGGCAAGGGACGAAAGCUAGGGGCACGAACCGGAUUAGAUACCCGGGUAGUCCUAGCCGUAAACGAUACUCGCUAGGUGUCGGCAACGGUGCGACCGUUGUCGGUGCCGUAGGGAAGCCGUGAAGCGAGCCACCUGGGAAGUACGGCCGCAAGGCUGAAACUUAAAGGAAUUGGCGGGGGAGCACCACAACGGGUGGAGCUUGCGGUUUAAUUGGAUUCAACGCCGGAAAUCUUACCGGGACCGACAGCAAUAUGAAGGCCAGGCUGAAGACUUUGCCGGAUUAGCUGAGAGGUGGUGCAUGGCCGUCGUCAGUUCGUACUGUGAAGCAUCCUGUUAAGUCAGGCAACGAGCGAGACCCACGCCCACAGUUGCCAGCGUACUCUCCGGAGUGACGGGUACACUGUGGGGACCGCCGCUGCUAAAGCGGAAGAAGGAAUGGGCAACGGUAGGUCAGUAUGCC